This 1821-nucleotide long non-coding RNA is filed under the name Carica papaya (papaya). RNAcentral's name for it is "long non-coding RNA (CPAP_LNC005523)". Lineage: Eukaryota; Viridiplantae; Streptophyta; Magnoliopsida; Brassicales; Caricaceae. The record is from RNAcentral.
CGUUUCCCAUUGAUUCUAAUUUCUAUCAUUGUUGAUAAAGGGAGGGUUUUUAUAAGAUCAAAUUUCUUUGAUGUUUUCAAUGAAAUUGUGUGAAUUCUUGAUCACGUUUGUUGAUUUGGGGUUCCGCAUCAAAGAAGUAAAUUAGCAAGAUAGCAAGUAGGUGCACAUAAGUACAAAAGCUUUACAAGUCAAUCAUAAUGUCAAUAAGGUCCCAAUGUCCUCAUCAAAGGAAAGAGGAUAACUUUAAAUAGAAAGCCCAAGAUCUGGAACUAUAAAUCUUCCAAAUCUAUUAAAAGGGAAAACUAAGGUUUUUAAAGGUCCUUAUAUGAUGGCCUGCAUCAUAGUCAAGGAAUAAGAGAUAUGAGUUUUCUCCUGCUUUUAUCACUCCAGCUCCCCUGCCAAACAGAUCUCUUUACCACAGAGCCUGCUAUCACUCAAUUCAAUCUGAGGAACUCAACGGCAGCACAUCGACAAUGGAGAGAGAACAAACAGCAAAAACCGAUGAUCCUAUGUCUCAAUUUCCUCUUGUGCAGAAAAAGACCCAUUGGCUAGAAUCUUUCCCUCUUUUGAAAAUUGUCAAUAGUUAGAAUUCUGUCUUUCACUGCCUCCAAACUGAAGAGAGGAAUUCAAGGAGGUAGAUUUAACUUCCACGAAAAUUUCCUAGGGAAAUCAUAAAGUAGAAAGCCAAAUUAAGCAAUGUGCAAAUAGAAAGAUUUCACUGUAAAGGAGCUGCAAUCGUCCAACCUGCAGUUCUGUUUAUCUUUACUAUAAAACGCACAUUGAAAUUGAAUAUUACAGACAUGCAUGGGAAAACUGACAUAUAAGGUUGCUCUUUACAUAUGAAGGAACGAAGUCUAAGGUCUGUGAGGCCAUAUAAACUUAAGAAGCACCAAGAAUCCUUUCGUCUGCCAGCCAAAAGCAUAGAAAGAGAAAAGAAAUCUCGAUAGAAUCAACAAAAGAUGCUACCCUAAUAUCCCACAUAACCAGAAGACCUCCAAAGAAGGAUUCUCAAAACCAAACCUUAAAUCUCGAGGCCCACACACUACGAACAAUCAUCGAAUUAACAAUUUCGUUACUCCAUGAAAUCUGCAGCUACUAAUAUAUUUUUUUAUUUCGUGACCACACACUAUAAACGACACUUUUUGAUUUAGUGACCAAGCUGCAGCUUUAACAAUGUGUGCCCCCCGCCCUAACUUAAUAGAUUAGAAUCCCUAAGAUCGUUCCAGUUGAAAGAUAAAACUAUGUCAGUUCAUGUUUGCUCAGUGAAGGUGACUGAUCUUAUCACUGUUGUGCGCCUACUCUAGCACAAGGUCAAUAAGACGGCAAUCCAUUGAACCCGUCCUUUUUGACUUGGAGGACCUUGCUAAAGCAAAACUGUUUGAGACUAACAGUUCCUAAAAAAUUAAAAUCUGUAUUAGAUAAACAAAAUCCAAUUUCAUCCAAUAACUCAAACAAAUCAAAUCCUAUUCUGCUAAACUACAGACAACGAAAAUUUAAGAGAACUUGAGUUUCUGUAUAUAUACAACGAGAGAAAAAGAGAAAUGAAAAUUACAAAUAUAGUAGAAGUUAACUCAUUUGACAGAGAUGGGAGAGACACGAUAUUGCAAGAGGGAACGACGGCCGUAUUAAGAGCUUUUGCGCGCGACACAGUGAGAGAGAGAGAGAGAGAGAGAGAGUCAUACCGGGAUGUGGAAGAGCGGCGGUGGCUUGCAGAAACGUGGUGAUGACAAGGUCGUCUGAUAUGGCACUGUGCCGAGGACGACAGUUAUGCGUGCGAGGAGACAAUCGAGAGAGCGAAGAUGAAAUGAAACAGGAGCAUUA